This 429-nucleotide ribosomal RNA is filed under the name Tulasnella pruinosa. RNAcentral describes it as "partial large subunit ribosomal RNA". It matches the Rfam family "Bacterial large subunit ribosomal RNA", at positions 1720 to 2089 of the family's 2925-position model. Lineage: Eukaryota; Fungi; Basidiomycota; Agaricomycetes; Cantharellales; Tulasnellaceae. The record is from RNAcentral.
UUUUAAUUAUAUAUGUUCUCUAUAGAAUCUACCUUUGCUCUGCGGUCUGUGGGCACACUGCCCAUUAGGCUGGCGGGGUCGGGUUGAAUAUAUAGUUAAAAAGUUAAUAUUUAAGUGGUGUCACAAAAUCGGAGGCCCCGACUGUUUACUUAAAACACAGCUUUCUGCUACGAAUAAUAUCUGUGUAUAGAAAGCGAAUUUUGCCCAAUGCCAUUAAUAUAAGGUUGAUAAGCGCAUAGCGUAUUUAUUAAUUGAAGUUCUGGUCAAUGGCGGUCUUAUCUAUGAGGAUCCUAAGGUAGCAAAAUUAAUUGUCCAUUAAAUGUGGUCCUGACUGAAUAAAGUAACGAUGNUCUCACUGUCUCUACAAGUAUCUCAGUGAAAUNGAAUNANCNGUGCAAAUGCNGGUUAACUNCGGGUNAACGGNAAACC